RNAcentral lists this ribosomal RNA (432 nucleotides) under uncultured bacterium. RNAcentral's name for it is "bacterial SSU rRNA". It matches the Rfam family "Bacterial small subunit ribosomal RNA", at positions 959 to 1391 of the family's 1533-position model. The record is from RNAcentral.
ACGCGAAGAACCUUACCAAGUCUUGACAUCCCGAUGACAGAUUAUGUAAUGUAGCUUCUCUUCGGAGCAUCGGUGACAGGUGGUGCAUGGUUGUCGUCAGCUCGUGUCGUGAGAUGUUGGGUUAAGUCCCGCAACGAGCGCAACCCCUGUCCUUAGUAGCCAGCGGUUCGGCCGGGCACUCUAGGGAGACUGCCAGGGAUAACCUGGAGGAAGGCGGGGAUGACGUCAAAUCAUCAUGCCCCUUAUGACUUGGGCUACACACGUGCUACAAUGGCGUAAACAAAGGGAAGCAAAGCCGUGAGGCCGAGCAAAUCUCAAAAAUAACGUCUCAGUUCGGACUGUAGUCUGCAACCCGACUACACGAAGCUGGAAUCGCUAGUAAUCGCAGAUCAGAAUGCUGCGGUGAAUACGUUCCCGGGUCUUGUACACACC